This 3298-nucleotide long non-coding RNA is filed under the name Mustela putorius furo (domestic ferret). Its description in RNAcentral is "lncRNA (ENSMPUG00000026540.1)". The record is from RNAcentral. Lineage: Eukaryota; Metazoa; Chordata; Mammalia; Carnivora; Mustelidae.
CUGGAAGUCAAAGUUGUAAACCAGGUCACUUAAACUCCGAAUUUAGCCAGUGACUCUUUCACAUUUGUAAGCAAGAAUAUUGCUAGCCUCCCCACUGAGCCUGCAUGAGGACUGACCUUUCAUGGAUCACAGGAAGGAAGUCUGGUUUCUCAGAGGAGAAGUCAGACUGGUUUUGACAUAAAAGUCUUUGCCAACAAAACUCUGGGCAGACGCAAGCAUAUUCAGUGGCAGGAGAAAGCAGAGUGCAUGCCAAUGGUAGAAAUACAAGGAACUUGAAGAGAAAAAGAGACAGCGACAAGGGGAACACAGGCCAGGGGACCUGAGUCGAAUGCAGAUGCUUAAGGACUGAGCCACCCAGGCACCCUGAUGAUAGUCCUUUUUAAAAGCCUGCCUCUUACAAGGACCCUGAGAUUACAUUGGACUCACAUGGAUCAUCCAGGCCACUGUCCUCAGUUCAAGAUCUUUAACUUCCACACGUUUGCCAAGUCCCUAGUGCCAUGUAAGGUAACAUUCACAAGUACUGAGGAUUGGGACGUGGCCAUCUUUGGUGGAGAGAAAGGUAUGAUUUGGCUUUCCAUAAUGCCACGACUGAGAAUGUGGUCCUAUGAGAAUGCUCGGAGAAGGGUUGAGAACAAUUUUUCUGGAAGACAAAGAAGAGACGAUUCAUUGAUUCCUUUGUCUAUAUUGUUUCCAAAAGUUGGAUCCAAAAGCUUUUUCUCCCCAAUUUGGGAUAAGAGAAGUAGAAAAACCAAUCAAAAGAGAGAAGAUAUGUCACCAACAGCAUAAGAAUGCUUAUGAUUACUGGGAGUAAGUGCAUAAACGCAAGAGAUGGAGUCCUUAUUCUUGUGGAAAUUAAAUUCCUUGUGAAGGAGAGAAAUAAUAAGCAUACAAAAAAUUGGGGUACAUUUUGACAGUGGAACUGACUGAAUUUGGUGGGAAAUUAGACAUGAGGAGUGAGAGGAAGAGAGAGAUCAAGGUGCAAGCCUUAUUUGACACAACUGCGGAGUGGAUGACAUGGCGUUGGGCACUGCAGAGACUGUGACGACGAGGUAGAGACCAAAUUCUCCCUCAGUGAUCAAAGUUUAGUAGAAGAAUAAACUCAGAAGAUCAAAAACAGACGUGGAAGUAGGGUCUUAUUACACACAAGAAGGAACAAAUCAUUGGCCAGUACAGAUUUGUAAAGAUGCUUACUGAAUCAGUGCUCACCAGAGAAGUGGGAAUUAGCUUUAUUACUUUUUUCACAAAACUGGAAAAAUUAGAGGACUGGCAGUAAAAAUUAAUAACAUGGCGAAGCUGCUUCAAAACCCAUCUCAGUCAUUAACUGCAUGAAAAAGAGACACCAAACCUUAUAUUGGCAGAACUGUAGGGAAGCAAGUACUUUCCAUUUUCAUUUGUGGGGUUGGAAAUUGGUAUUACUCUUCAGAAAAAAAAAAAUUCUUUAUCUCCUAAAAAUUAAAAAUGUGCCAAGUGACACAUUUAAAUGUAAAGGUAAAUUAGAAGUGUACGAAGAGACAAAUUCAAAGGGUUCACUGCAAUAUUGUUUAUAAUAAUGGAAAAAAUCAGGUGAAAUUUAAAUGCCUCUUAACAAGCUAUUUGUUAAAUGGACUAUACAUAUCUAAAUAAAAAUAUUCCUAAUGAGAAGCAGUAGGCAGAUUUAUAUGUACUACCAUACACAAAUGUUAAAAACACAUUGGUAAGUGAAAAUUCGUUGCAAAGAUUUAUGCACAGUAUAAUAUGAUUUCUGUCUGAAAUGUCUACAAACAAAACUAUUUAGUCCUUUUUAAAAAAAAUUAUUUAUUUAUUUGUCAGAGAGAAGAGUACAAGCAGGGGGAGUGGCAGGCAGAGCAGGCAGAGGGAGAAACAGACUCCUGGCUGAGCAAGGAGCCUGAGGUGAGAUUCUAUCCCAGGAACAUGGAAUCAUGACCUGAGUCAAAGGCAGAUGCUUAACCAACUAAGCCACCCAGGCAUCCCCAAACUGUAUAGUCCUUAUAUACAUGUGUAAGUAGGACAGCAUAACUCUGUUGGAGGGGGAGUCAAAGAGGGCAAUCACUUUAUCUAUAUUGUUUGAAUAUUGUAAAAUGAUAUUUUAUUAAUGUAACAUUUGUAUAAUUAAAAGUUAAAAUGAUGACAAAAAUAAAAAGGAGUCAGCUCAGUAAACACAAGGACACUGUGCUGUGUGGGUGUACAUUCUCAUCAAAGCUUUGUUCAUUGGAUAAGCCCAGAUUCUCUUGAUCAUUAAGUGCUUUUCAUAUUGACAUGAAAAUCAGAUAUUUUUUUCAGACAAAAGGCAGUAGAAUAUCUUUGAAAUGCAAAGCAACAUAAGAGUGCAAUACGUCAGGGUUUUAUUCAACUGCAAGGUCAAUAUAAAUCUACACUGUGAUAAGGCUUCCUGCAAAGCUGUCUCCAUCAUUAACUGAAUGGAAAGAGACAUCAAAUCUCGAACAAGGGAAGAAACAGCCCAUCUCUUCUCUAUGCUGCUCACACUCUACUUGGAGUAUUACAACCAGGUGUGUAUGCCGCAUUUGAAGCAUGUGCAAAGAAAGAAAGCAGAACUGCUAAAGGGUUUGAAAAGAUGUCCUGUGGGAAAUAGUAGGAUGAAUGGGGAAUUAUUUAAUCAGGAGAAAAGGAUACUCCAAUGACAUAUGAUGGUUGAAUUUAAACACUUUAAGACUGCUACAUAGAGAACAAAAGGAACUUACUCUGUUUUCAUGCAGUGUACAGAAAAUCAUAAUCGCUAUUUUACAAAAAUCCAACAUGUGUAUGUCUUCUCAACCUUGGGAGUUAUUACUGUUCUAUUUGACAGCUAUAGUAGAGAACAAUAAAAUUUGUGUUUCCCUUUUCUGUAGUCUUGUCUCUAAGAAGUGACUGCCAGUCAGGGGCUGCAUAUCCUAGCUCUAUAUGAGGUUAGAUGUGGCCCAAUGUCUGGGCCCUAUGACUGUGCCAUUCUGCCAGCAACUGCACCAGGAUGAAUGUUAUAAAUGAAAGGGACAGAGAUUACAGCUAAAGAUGGAAGACUUCAGUAACAGAACUAUUCUUGCAUUUCUUCAAGAGGCAGUAUGUACUCCAUCUCAGGAACUGUUCAAAAAGAGGCCAUUAGAGAAAAAAAUUUAAAAAAAUCAUGAUGAGUGUCAGAGCUAGAUGAUUUAAUGUUUUUCUACAACCUGAGACUCCAUGAUUCAGUGCACACAUGAAGCACUCAAAUGAUAUUUAUUAUACAAACACUAUGCACUCAGCAGCAAUUUGGGAGCCCUGUGGUCUCCUUAACAAGGUAUAAUGUGAGUGCUAGGAACUGAGCCAG